CAUGUGCUACAACAGUGUAUUGGAUACAUCUCUAGGCAGUGAAGGUGUGGAGGAUUUGGUGGGCUCUUGGUGGGAUCAUUUGUAUUACAGUGCCAGACCUGCCUGAUUCAGUGGGCUACAUUUCCAUGAUAUAAAUGGUUUGCUUAGCCUGUCUGUGUGUGCCCUGUGGUCUCUUAAUUUGGGAACUAAUGCAAAAUGAUUUCUCUCUAUUGCAGAUUGCCCGUCGUGAUGGUAGAGUGAUCCUGACUUGUGGAUUGCCCUAUGAGACACUUCGCUCACAAGUUGGAGAGGGAAAGUGUUUCUUGGUCGAUUGCUCAGAGAAAGACAAAUAGCAAGCCAUCAAGGUGCUGAACCAUUUCAAUAUCUGGGUUGCACUGACUGAUGUGUUCAGCCGAUGCCAGGUGUGCAACUGCGACAGAUACCUGCACAUCUCCCAGGACAAAAUGUCUCGACUGCUGCAACUUCACAGUUACUUGAGGGACACAAACCAAGUGCCAGAUGAGCCCCCCACAUUCCAAAUCAGAAGAUCAGACAAGGUGUCCCAGUAGUGAAGAGCAACAGUGGCUGGAAGAGUUUGGGAUUUGCCAGGGCUCUCUUACCCUUCCCAGUGGCGCAGCCCUGCAACUGGACUCCAUACCCCCAGGCCUUCUGCACAAGUUGGUGCUCCUCUUCUGCUGCAGCCAGUGUGGCAAGGUAUUCUGGGAAGGCUCCCAUUUUGGCAGAGUAGUGUCCCAAUUCAGAGAGGUCCUGCAGGACACUGGGGAAAAUCUCGACUGGCUGGCGGACCCGAAUCCCUAAAUGGAUGGACAAUAAAGACGGGUGCCCAAUUACUCUGUGCUAUUGUGUCUGUCCCAGACCACCAUUCCUUAGCAGAGCAGUGAGUGUUCAUGAGUCACGUUGCUAGUUGCCAUGUAGCUGCCAUUGUUCCUUCCUGUUGUUUUUUUCCUUUUAAUGAACAUUUAUGGACAAUACUGUAUUUUAUGUUUUCAAUAUGGUUCCCCCAUCUUUUAUUCACUGUAUUUUAUUGCUAUAAAGUGCCCAAAAGUGCCGGAGAGGGAAGUGACAUACUCUUCUGAAAAGAUGGCCUUUGUAUAUGAAGUUAUACUUCGACAUUCAUGAACUUCCUCCUGAAUCUUUUAUUUCUGGAUUAAAUGACGUUUUGUUCCUG
Xenopus laevis (African clawed frog) is the source of this 1168-nucleotide long non-coding RNA. RefSeq lists it as uncharacterized. Lineage: Eukaryota; Metazoa; Chordata; Amphibia; Anura; Pipidae. The record is from RefSeq and is a predicted model, not a curated record. The transcript has 4 exons.